AACAGACCCAGGCUCUUGGUAGGCGGUGUCUGAAGGUCGGGGGUGUGAUGAAAAGUGGCAAUAAUAGUCAUAAUAAACAUAAUGGAACUAGGACUAGAAAUAGAUGUUCAGGGCGUAGCAGGGCGUAACAGGGUG
Long non-coding RNA from Etheostoma cragini (Arkansas darter), 135 nucleotides. RefSeq lists it as uncharacterized. The record is from RefSeq and is a predicted model, not a curated record. NCBI's taxonomy places the organism in Eukaryota, Metazoa, Chordata, Actinopteri, Perciformes, Percidae. The transcript has 3 exons.